Molecule: ribosomal RNA, 484 nt
Filed under: uncultured bacterium
Lineage: Bacteria
Description: partial 16S ribosomal RNA
Rfam family: Bacterial small subunit ribosomal RNA
Source: RNAcentral
AUUGAACGCUGGCGGCAGGCCUAACACAUGCAAGUCGAGCGGAUGAAGGGAGCUUGCUCCUGGAUUCAGCGGCGGACGGGUGAGUAAUGCCUAGGAAUCUGCCUGGUCGUGGGGGAUAACGUCCGGAAACGGGCGCUAAUACCGCAUACGUCCUGAUGGAGAAAGUGGGGGAUCUUCGGACCUCACGCUAUCAGAUGAGCCUAGGUCGGAUUAGCUAGUUGGUGGGGUAAAGGCCUACCAAGGCGACGAUCCGUAACUGGUCUGAGAGGAUGAUCAGUCACACUGGAACUGAGACACGGUCCAGACUCCUACGGGAGGCAGCAGUGGGGAAUAUUGGACAAAGGGCGAAAGCCUGAUCCAGCCAUGCCGCGUGUGUGAAGAAGGUCUUCGGAUUGUAAAGCACUUUAAGUUGGGAGGAAGGGCAGUAAGUUAAUACCUUGCUGUUUUGACGUUACCAACAGAAUAAGCACCAGCUAACUUCGUG